UACGUAGGGGGCAAGCGUUGUCCGGAUUUAUUGGGCGUAAAGAGCGUGUAGGCGGUCUGGUAGGUCCGUUGUGAAAACUCGAGGCUCAACCUCGAGACGCCGAUGGAAACCAUCAGACUAGAGUCCGGAAGAGGAGAGUGGAAUUCCUGGUGUAGCGGUGAAAUGCGCAGAUAUCAGGAAGAACACCCGUGGCUAAGGCGGCUCUCUAGUACGGUACUGACGCUGAGGAGCGAAAGCGUGGGGAGCGAACAGA
This 253-nucleotide ribosomal RNA is filed under the name uncultured bacterium. RNAcentral describes it as "partial 16S ribosomal RNA". It matches the Rfam family "Bacterial small subunit ribosomal RNA", at positions 524 to 776 of the family's 1533-position model. The record is from RNAcentral.